UGACACAAGCUCUCAUUAGGAAUUGCCCUCAAAGUCUUUUUUUUCAUCAAUAGUUUUUAAGACUCUUUGGCUAAUACAAAACCUUUAAUAAAUUAAUCUCCAUACAUUGUAGUUAGAGCGGAAUGAGGAAAUUAAUCUAAUAACUAAUCAAAAGCCCUUUGGAUCGAGGGAAGGACACUGCUACUACCACUGUAAAGCUUUUUUCCUCUUUAUCAGCCUGCAGUUGUGAAUUUCCAGAGUCCCCGCACUGGCACUUGCUGGAGCAGGCGGGCCCAGCAGUGCAGAGCCAGGGGCUGGUAUCAGCCUCUGAGCUCAGCAUCAGCCUAAGCUGGGCUUUGUUGGAGCCAGGUGUUUCUGGGCUUUCUUUUUGCUUGUUUUUAGCACCAAUGCAUGCACAUAUACAAAGGCUUGGUAAGCUUGGCCAACAUAUCCUGACAGCACUGCAAGGAAAGAAAUCUGAUUUAGCAGCAUCUGCUGAAGGCGCGUUGUGUUCCAGCUCCUGUACAGCAGGAAUGGAGGCAAAAUCGACUCUGAACCGCCCUUGGUUUUCUGCUUUUCCACUGAAUUAGAAAAUUCCAGUGUGCAUUUUCUAAUGGGAACCAACUAUUUGUUAUUUGCCUUUUUUAUCUUAUCUUAUCUUAUCUUAUCUUAUCUUAUCUUAUCUUAUCUUAUUAUUUUAUUUUCUCUCUUUGUCUUUUCUGCCCCAACAGCUGCACUGUGUGGCUGUGUGCUGCGACCCAUGCUCACAGGAACAGCGUGCCUUCAGACUUCUCCAGUGCCUGCACUGUGACAGCUUUCACACCUUGCAAGCAUUAAUUUGUUGGUGUUAUUACAGCGCCCAAAGUGUGCCCGGCACCUUCACAGCACGCAGUCAGAUGCUCCUGCCUCCAGGGAGUUUGUGGCUGAAGGAUGCGGCUGUGCUGUGGAUGGAUGUGCUCCUACAAGGCAGCGAUGAACGAUGAGGAGCUGCAGCCUGCCCCUGCCUGUGCCGGGUGUCACCGAUCCCUGCCCGUGGGUCACCCCCGUCUCACCUCGCCCCCACGCAGCCCCCUCAGCCCGUUUGUCAGCAGUGGGCCAUCGAUAGCCACGUGGAGGGGCUGUCUUAUCGCCGUUUUCUCUGUAACAACAAACCUUUCAUUUUCACUCUGCAUACAGUAGAACCAUCACGAAGGUUCAAAGCUUGCAUUUCAGUUGCUGUGCCGCAGUUAAACAGUCUGCUAUUCCUCAGAAAUUGCUCCACAAAGCCAUGAGCACGAGCAUCUACCACUUGGAAUAAGGACACCCGCCGGCCUCGGCAGCUUUUGCAUUUGGUCCCUGGCCCGGCCUGGAGCCCCAGGCGGGCACGGUGCUCCCUGCCAGGCCUUUCUGUGCUGCCCAGAAAGUGAGUGUUUUGUUUCCACUUUCCGUCUGAAAGAAGUUCAAUGAAUUAUUUACCCCAUUCCGUAAUUAGAGAUGUUAUUGCUGUUGUCUGGGCUAAUCCAGGCUCUGUCUGUGAGAUGAGCUGUAGGUACGCUCGCCGCCUUGAAGCUGUCAUUGAUGCCAAGGUUUAUAUAGCCACAUAAAUAAC
RNAcentral lists this long non-coding RNA (1567 nucleotides) under Anas platyrhynchos platyrhynchos (common mallard). RNAcentral's name for it is "lncRNA (ENSAPLG00000026672.1)". Lineage: Eukaryota; Metazoa; Chordata; Aves; Anseriformes; Anatidae. The record is from RNAcentral.